CAAUAGCGUAUAUUAAAGUUGUUGCGGUUAAAAAGCUCGUAGUUGGAUUUCUGCCGAGGACGACCGGUCCGCCCUCUGGGUGAGUAUCUGGCUCGGCCUGGGCAUCUUCUUGGAGAACGUAGCUGCACUUGACUGUGUGGUGCGGUAUCCAGGACUUUUACUUUGAGGAAAUUAGAGUGUUUCAAGCAGGCACACGCCUUGAAUACAUUAGCAUGGAAUAAUAAGAUAGGACCUCGGUUCUAUUUUGUUGGUUUCUAGAGCUGAGGUAAUGAUUAAUAGGGAUAGUUGGGGGCAUUCGUAUUUAACUGUCAGAGGUGAAAUUCUUGGAUUUGUUAAAGACGGACUACUGCGAGAGCAUUUGCCAAGGAUGUUUUCAUUGA
This 380-nucleotide ribosomal RNA is filed under the name uncultured eukaryote. RNAcentral's name for it is "partial 18S ribosomal RNA". It matches the Rfam family "Eukaryotic small subunit ribosomal RNA", at positions 592 to 976 of the family's 1831-position model. The record is from RNAcentral.